GGUUAAGCUACUAAGAGCACACGGAGGAUGCCUAGGCGCUAGGAGCCGAUGAAGGACGUGGCGAACAACGAUAAGGCCUCGGGGAGCUGUAAGCAAGCUUUGAUCCGGGGAUGUCCGAAUGGGGAAACCCGGCUGGUGUAAUAGCCAGUCACUUCUGUCUGAAUACAUAGGGCAGUCGAGGCAGACCAGGGGAACUGAAACAUCUAAGUACCCUGAGGAAGAGAAAACAAUAGUGAUUCCGUCAGUAGCGGCGAGCGAACGCGGAUUAGCCCAAACCAG
Molecule: ribosomal RNA, 279 nt
Filed under: Paenibacillus lacisoli
Lineage: Bacteria; Bacillati; Bacillota; Bacilli; Caryophanales; Paenibacillaceae
Description: partial 23S ribosomal RNA
Rfam family: Bacterial large subunit ribosomal RNA
Source: RNAcentral